RNAcentral lists this long non-coding RNA (213 nucleotides) under Olea europaea (common olive). RNAcentral describes it as "long non-coding RNA (OEUR_LNC015348)". The record is from RNAcentral. Lineage: Eukaryota; Viridiplantae; Streptophyta; Magnoliopsida; Lamiales; Oleaceae.
CAAGUAUGUGUUUGAUUGUAUUCUUUUGUGUAGUAUUAUCAUGAUAAAAAUCCAAGCAUGGUAUCUUACUGAGUAUUUCUUAUACUCAUAGUAUGUUAUGCUAAAUUUUCAGAUCCAUGAUCGUUUGGAUUGAUGGAAGUUAGUUGGCUUAAGCGAUGAUGGAUUAAGGACAAAGAUGUUUUGCAUCGAAAGUUUUCUUUUGUAUGUUUUGUU